UCUGUCUGCUGUGUGGGAUGGGGGCAGGGCGCGCUGCAGGCGCCACCUGCUCCAACCAGGUCCAGAGUCUGGCAAAGGCACCUUUGACCCCAAGCUUCCCGGUUGCUCAAAGUGCCCAGCGCAUUCCGGAGGCGCAGUUCCGCUCCACCCAGGCAGGGGCGCCCGUCCCUAAUUUCCUCGCAAGCUGUCCCGGGCGGUACUAACUAGGUGCAUGUGGGGUGUCCGAAGGCGGCAGCGGGGAAGACGGUCCGGGCGGGGCCCGCUGGGGCCCGUGACGCCCCGUCCCGACGGGCCGGAGCCCCAGCCGACACCUCCAAGUAGCCACGCUCAAGGGCACGACCUAGACCCGCGGGGCACGGAACUCAGCGAUACUUCUCCGUCAGCACCACAGCCAUGCCCGUCAGGAACUUAUCCCACGCCGCCUGCAUCUCCACCGUGAACUCGUCCUGCAGGUGGGAGGCCAGCACCACCUGGAAACACUGGAUCACCAGCUGCCGGAGAAGAGGCCGGUGACCUUUCUUAUGCAUUUCCUGGGAGUGAGCUACCAGUGGAGAGACAACCCCGCGCCGUGGACGGCGCAUGCGCAGGCCGCUCCCCGCCACCUCCAGGGACCCCGCCAGCGUCCUGUCCUCAGAUGCUCCCUAACAGCCAGGAUUCCUGUUCCUACCAACAACACAGAGGAAGAACACAGACUCCUGGGUCGCCACUCACCCUUGUGUAUCUCUUUGUUUAGCUGACUUCCCUGAAAUGCCACCAGUGUAUUGAUGCUUUUCUCUUCCUUCUUAGUCCCUCGGUCUAGCAAGAGUGUGCCCAGCACAGCUGGCCCCG
Dama dama (fallow deer) is the source of this 828-nucleotide long non-coding RNA. RefSeq lists it as uncharacterized. Lineage: Eukaryota; Metazoa; Chordata; Mammalia; Artiodactyla; Cervidae. The transcript is spliced from 3 exons. The record is from RefSeq and is a predicted model, not a curated record.